GCCCAUUUCUCAGGAACAUCAUAGUUACUCAUUAAAUUCACAAGGUCUCCACCAGGCAUGUAUUCCAUGACCAUGUAAAGGUAACGAUCAUCUUGGAAUGCGUAAAACAACUGAACAACCCAGGGACUAUUAGCAAAAGCCAUAAUAUCCCUUUCUUCCCAGAAGAACGCAGAAUCUGAUCUUUUUAUCAUCUCAAAUUUGCUCAGAAGUUUCAUAGCAUACACUCUUCUUGAUGAUUUAUGCCUUACCAACUGAACCUCCCCAAAUGCCCCUCUGCCAAUCACCUUCACCACUUCAUAAUCUUCAGCUUUCAUCCGCAGAUCUCUCAUUUUAUUUACUGUGUCUUUAUACCUGUUUAAGAAGUUAUCAAUGUUUUUGUUUUUUCGUAAGGCAGGAAAAUCCAAGUCAUAUACCAAAGCAUCUAACCCAUCCAGCAAACAGUCCACGUUCACUUCGGAUUUGGGAUCCUUUAAAGUCCCGUCGAUUUUUUCGAACCGAGACUCAAAACUUUC
This 512-nucleotide long non-coding RNA is filed under the name Gallus gallus (chicken). Lineage: Eukaryota; Metazoa; Chordata; Aves; Galliformes; Phasianidae. The record is from RNAcentral.